GCUAACUACGUGCCAGCAGCCGCGGUAAUACGUAGGUGACAAGCGUUGUCCGGAUUUAUUGGGCGUAAAGCGAGCGCAGGCGGUCUUUUAAGUCUGAUGUGAAAGCCCACGGCUCAACCGUGGAUGGUCAUUGGAAACUGGAAGACUUGAAUGCAGAAGAGGAAAGUGGAAUUCCAUGUGUAGCGGUGAAAUGCGUAGAUAUAUGGAGGAACACCAGUGGCGAAGGCGACUUUCUGGUCUGUAAUUGACGCUGAGGCUCGAAAGCGUGGGGAGCGAACAGGAUUAGAUACCCUUGUAGUC
RNAcentral lists this ribosomal RNA (300 nucleotides) under uncultured Alkalibacterium sp. RNAcentral's name for it is "bacterial SSU rRNA". It matches the Rfam family "Bacterial small subunit ribosomal RNA", at positions 496 to 795 of the family's 1533-position model. Lineage: Bacteria; Bacillati; Bacillota; Bacilli; Lactobacillales; Carnobacteriaceae. The record is from RNAcentral.